Molecule: long non-coding RNA, 842 nt
Filed under: Rattus norvegicus (Norway rat)
Lineage: Eukaryota; Metazoa; Chordata; Mammalia; Rodentia; Muridae
Description: long non-coding RNA NONRATT005804
Source: RNAcentral
UGUCCCAAAAAAAACCUCUCACUCACCAAGAAAAUAAAUACUAAUUUGAUGAAGUUCAGAGCAUUCAUUUGCCCCUGGUUAGAAUAUUUUCUAAAAAAACAAAGAUUGAAAGUAAUGAGACUGUUUUCGGGGCAGGUGUGAGAUAAUUGAUUCUAGUCAGUCAGUCAGUCAGUCAGUCAGUCUAGACUAACCGAGAGAGUUGGUCUUCCUGACAACACUAAGAGCCAACACAGGCUCUUUGUUAAAGGCCUUUCUUGUCCUUUUAGGAACUUCACCCCGAUGAGAUAGACACCGACUCUGCCUACAUCCUUUUCUAUGAGCAGCAGGGGAUAGACUGUGCACAAUUUCUGCCAAAGAUAGAUGGCAAGAAGAUGGCAGACACAAGCAGCAUGGAUGAAGACUUUGAAUCUGACUACAAGAAGUACUGUGUGCUACAGUAAAGCUACACAUGGGCUGCUAGGUGGGCUGCUGGGAAGGGAGGUGACUCCUUGUAGCUGGCAUUUGGCAGAAUUGUCCCUGAAAAGCAGGCUAAGUGUAGUUAUUUUAUCCUGUGACCUGAAGCACAAAAUAAAAGUCCUAAUUAAAAUAGCAGUCAACUUUAAGAAUAGUAAUAAUUUUGUUUUGAAGUCUCUCACAAGCUGUGUGGUAGAGAACUUUAAGGCAGAUCCCACCAUUAGCCUGUAAACAAGAGGGUUUGGCACCAAUCACCUGGGACCAAUUAAGAAUUUAAUUGUGCUUGUCCAAAUAAUGAACAAACUUGUAGUGAGUAUAGAGUUUACCAGUAAUCAUAACAGGAUACUAAGGAUUUCCUUGGACUCAAAGUUAAAAAAAAAAACAACAAA